Molecule: ribosomal RNA, 253 nt
Filed under: uncultured bacterium
Lineage: Bacteria
Description: partial 16S ribosomal RNA
Rfam family: Bacterial small subunit ribosomal RNA
Source: RNAcentral
UACGAAGGGAGCUAGCGUUGUUCGGAGUCACUGGGCGUAAAGCGCACGUAGGCGGCUGUGUCAGUCAGGGGUGAAAUCCCGGAGCUCAACUUCGGAACUGCCCUUGAUACAGCACGUCUUGAGUCCGGAAGAGGUGGGUGGAAUUCCUAGUGUAGAGGUGAAAUUCGUAGAUAUUAGGAAGAACACCGGUGGCGAAGGCGGCCCACUGGUCCGGUACUGACGCUGAGGUGCGAAAGCGUGGGGAGCAAACAGG